RNAcentral lists this ribosomal RNA (253 nucleotides) under uncultured bacterium. RNAcentral describes it as "partial 16S ribosomal RNA". It matches the Rfam family "Bacterial small subunit ribosomal RNA", at positions 524 to 776 of the family's 1533-position model. The record is from RNAcentral.
UACAGAGGUCUCAAGCGUUGUUCGGAUUCAUUGGGCGUAAAGGGUGCGUAGGCGGCGCGGUAAGUCGGGUGUGAAAUCCCCGGGCUCAACCUGGGAAUGGCAUUUGGGACUGCAAGGCUUGAGUGCGGCAGAGGAGACUGGAAUUCCUGGUGUAGCAGUGAAAUGCGUAGAUAUCAGGAGGAAUACCGAUGGCGAAGGCAGGUCUCUGGGCUGACACUGACGCUCAUGCACGAAAGCGUGGGGAGCAAACAGG